This 1289-nucleotide long non-coding RNA is filed under the name Homo sapiens (human). RNAcentral describes it as "long intergenic non-protein coding RNA 882". Lineage: Eukaryota; Metazoa; Chordata; Mammalia; Primates; Hominidae. The record is from RNAcentral.
GGGUCCCCUAGGUCGCGGGGCAGCCGGGGCGGAAGGGGCUUGUUCAUUAUUUUGAGAGUUUGUUGUGAACGUCAUAACCUUUCGUCCUUAAAUAUUGCCGAUACUUGACCUACGCAAGAGACAAUGUCAUGUGAUUCAGCCUAAUAUCUCAGAGGAUGCAGCAUUCAAGGUUCUAUCUUGGAAGCAGAGACUGUGCCCUCACCAGAUGCUGAACCUGCUGAGCACCCUGAUCUUCCACUUCACCUUCAUCAGAACUACUGGGGCUGUGGCUGAGAUGUCACAUGGCAGAUAGGAUCACAAAUUUCUGUUGUAUCUGGAUGGAGAUCAGCAGGAGGAUCUAUGGGUACUUCAAAGAGGACAUCCUCUCCUGAAGAACAGAAGAACCUGAAAUGUUUGGAGCCUAAGACUGCUGUGAUUGCACCUGCCAUCUUAUGCAGAAAUGACCUGAAGACAGACUGAAACAACGUGUUCUACAGCCUGAAAAUAUCUACCUUGACUUACAGUUUUAUUAAUGCUGGUGUGAUCAGACUGGACAAAAAUUAGCAUAUGUUAUUAACUGAUCUAAUUCAAGUGCCAAUUCUUAAUAGAAACACAAAACAAUAAAAGCAAUUCAGAAAAUAUUUACUAUUUGAUUUCUUCAAGCUCCAAACAGGCUUGUGCUUAGCUGUAGAAACUUGAAUAUAUACAAAUCUACAUGGAUAGAAUUCUUAGUCUUCUUUGGGCCAGGUGUGUUAGCCCCUUGGGAAAGGAUAAAGUUUUGGAAUAUAUUUUUAUUCAUGAACCUGCUCUCUUUAAGACUUCUGAGGAAAAGAGCUGCUGGGCAGAUGAGUAGAAUAUGUUACUACUGUUCCGACAUGUCUACCCAUCAAAACUAGCUGAUACAGUACACUUUAAUGACCCUUCUAUAGUCAAAACUGACAUUGACAUUGACAUUAACAGAAAAGAUUUGGGACAAAGAACUGUGUUCAUGCAGCAAAUCAGCCUCAAACUUCACCACAAGCUGCACAUUUUAUGCUACUGUAUUCUGCUUAAGCACUUAUUUGUAUUUAUGUAAACUGAAUGAUCCUUUAAUACUUAAGGACUUUAUUCUGGGUGAGUUAGAAUCACACUGUUUUGGCAGGAAAACUCUUUGAUAGGAAAAACUGUAUGGCUUGAUAAUUUAAGAGCUAAAAGUAGCCAAAUCAGGAACUACUGAAAUUCUUCAGUAUCUGUUAGAAUAUCUCCUGUUUGAGCCAUGUUUGUAAAUGAUGUUCAAAGGCAUUUCAAAAGCAUGUAAAUUAAAAAAACAA